AUGAUCAGCCACACCGGAACUGGAACACGGUCCGGACUCCUACGGGAGGCAGCAGUGAGGAAUUUUGCGCAAUGGGGGAAACCCUGACGCAGCAACGCCGCGUGAGUGAUGAAGGCUUUCGGGUCGUAAAGCUCUGUCAGGUGGGAAGAACCCACCAAGUGUUAAGACCACUUGGUGCUGACGGUACCACCGAAGGAAGCACCGGCUAACUCCGUGCCAGCAGCCGCGGUAAUACGGGGGUGCGAGCGUUAUUCGGAAUCAUUGGGCGUAAAGGGCGCGCAGGCGGUUUUGUAAGUCAGAUGUGAAAUCCCGGGGCUUAACCCCGGAAGUGCAUAUGAAACUAUGAGACUUGAGUAUGGGAGAGGGAAGCGGAAAUUCCUGGUGUAAGCGGUGAAAUGCGUAGAUAUCAGGAGGAACACCGGUGGCGAAGGCGGCUUCCUGGACCAAUACUGACGCUGAGGCGCGAAGGCGUGGGGAGCGAACAGGAUUAGAUACCCUGGUAGUCCACGCAGUACACGUUGAUCACUUAGGUGUAGCGGGUAUUGACCCCCUCUUGUGCCGGAGUUAACGCAUUAAGUGAUCCGCCUGGGGAGUACGAUCGCAAGAUUAAAACUCAAAAGGAAUUGACGGGGGC
RNAcentral lists this ribosomal RNA (634 nucleotides) under uncultured organism. RNAcentral describes it as "bacterial SSU rRNA". It matches the Rfam family "Bacterial small subunit ribosomal RNA", at positions 300 to 920 of the family's 1533-position model. The record is from RNAcentral.